Molecule: ribosomal RNA, 242 nt
Filed under: uncultured bacterium
Lineage: Bacteria
Description: partial 16S ribosomal RNA
Rfam family: Bacterial small subunit ribosomal RNA
Source: RNAcentral
CGAACGGGCACCUUCGGGUGUCAGUGGCAGACGGGUGAGUAACACGUGGGAACGUGCCUUCGGUUCGGAAUAACUCAGGGAAACUUGAGCUAAUACCGGAUACGCCCUUAUGGGAAGGUUUACCGCCGAAGGAUCGGCCCGCGUCUGAUUAGCUAGUUGGUGGGGUAACGGCCUACCAAGGCGACGAUCAGUAGCUGGUCUGAGAGGAUGAUCAGCCACACUGGGACUGAGACACGGCCCAG